ACAAAACAUUGCAUUGAUACAUUAUGGUACAAUAAAAUACAAAAACAAUAUUAAAUACACAAUAUAUACAAGAUUUAACAUAGAAUAGGUAGGAAAUAUAUAAUCAACCAUGUUUUGAGGUAUGUAGAGAGGGAUCUCUUAAACGACUCUAGGCUUGGGGAAGAUUUUAAAGUGUGCAGGAGGUCAUUCCACAAUUGCGGCGCUCUGUAGGAGAAGGAGGAUUGGGCCGCUUUCUUUUUGUAUUAAAGUAGACUAAAUAAAGUGCUGGUACUGGAUCGGAGGUUAUAGGAGGUGGGAACAGUCGAGGAGAGCAUUCUGCUCAUUUAGGGUGGGGGUUUCCCAGAAAAGCUCUUAAACACAAGGCUAGAAAGAUGAAGGGUCCGUCUGCAUUCCAGCGACAGCCAGUUU
Molecule: non-coding RNA, 408 nt
Organism: Pelobates cultripes (western spadefoot toad)
Lineage: Eukaryota; Metazoa; Chordata; Amphibia; Anura; Pelobatidae
Source: the annotation of a GenBank genome assembly